RNAcentral lists this ribosomal RNA (255 nucleotides) under uncultured bacterium. RNAcentral describes it as "partial 16S ribosomal RNA". It matches the Rfam family "Bacterial small subunit ribosomal RNA", at positions 99 to 354 of the family's 1533-position model. The record is from RNAcentral.
CGGACGGGUGAGUAACGCGUGGAAAACCUGCCGUAUACUGGGGGAUAACACUUAGAAAUAGGUGCUAAUACCGCAUAAGCGCACAGCUUCGCAUGAAGCGGUGUGAAAAACUCUGGUGGUAUACGAUGGUUCCGCGUCUGAUUAGCUAGUUGGUGGGGUAAUGGCCUACCAAGGCAACGAUCAGUAGCCGGCCUGAGAGGGUGAACGGCCACAUUGGGAUUGAGACACGGCCCAAACUCCUACGGAAGGCAGCAG